CGCACAUUGCGCCCAUUAGUAUUCUAGUGGGCAUGCCUGUUCGAGCGUCAUUUCAACCCUUAAGCCCCUGUUGCUUAGCGUUGGGAGCCUACGGCCUGCGUAGCUCCUCAAAGUCAGUGGCAGAGUCGGUUCAAGCUCUAGACGUAGUAAAUCUCUUAUCUCGCCUAUAGAUGAACCGGUUUCUUGCCGUUAAACCCCCAAAUUUUAAAGGUUGACCUCGGAUCAGGUAGGAAUACCCGCUGAACUUAA
This 249-nucleotide unclassified non-coding RNA is filed under the name Xylaria sp. RNAcentral's name for it is "partial contains 5.8S ribosomal RNA, internal transcribed spacer 2, and large subunit ribosomal RNA". Lineage: Eukaryota; Fungi; Ascomycota; Sordariomycetes; Xylariales; Xylariaceae. The record is from RNAcentral.